UUCCGGUUGAUCCUGCCAGACCUGACUGCUAUCGGAUUGAUAUUAAGCCAUGCGAGUCUUUGUAGCAAUACAAGGCAGACGGCUCAGUAACACGUAGUCAACCUACCCUAUAGAUGGGGAUAACCUCGGGAAACUGAGAAUAAUACCAGAUAGAACAUUAUACCUGGAAUGGUUUAUGUUUCAAAUAAUUUAUUGCCGUAGGAUGGGACUGCGGCCUAUCAGUUUGUUGGUGAGGUAAUGGCCCACCAAGACUAUUACAGGUACGGGCUCUGAGAGGAGUAGCCCGGAGAUGGGUACUGAGACACGGACCCAGGCCCUAUGGGGCGCAGCAGGCGAGAAAACUUUGCAAUGUGCGAAAGCACGACAAGGUUAAUCCGAGUGGUUUCUGCUAAAGGAACCUUUUGUUAGUCAUAGAACCACUAAUGAAUAAGGGGUGGGCAAGUUCUGGUGUCAGCCGCCGCGGUAAAACCAGCACCUCAAGUGGUCAGGAUGAUUAUUGGGCCUAAAGCAUCCGUAGCCGGCUUUGUUAGUUUUCGGUUAAAUCCAUACGCUCAACGUAUGGGCUGCCGGGAAUACUGCAAGGCUAGGGAGUGGGAGAGGUAGACGGUACUCGGUAGGAAGGGGUAAAAUCCUUUGAUCUAUUGAUGACCACCUGUGGCGAAGGCGGUCUACCAGAACACGUCCGACGGUGAGGGAUGAAAGCUGGGGGAGCAAACCGGAUUAGAUACCCGGGUAGUCCCAGCUGUAAACUAUGCAAACUCGGUGAUGCAUUGGCUUGAUGCCAAUGCAGUGCCGCAGGGAAGCCGUUAAGUUUGCCGCCUGGGAAGUACGUACGCAAGUAUGAAACUUAAAGGAAUUGGCGGGGGAGCACCACAAGGGGUGAAGCCUGCGGUUCAAUUGGAUCAACGCCGGA
Molecule: ribosomal RNA, 913 nt
Filed under: uncultured archaeon
Lineage: Archaea
Description: bacterial SSU rRNA
Rfam family: Archaeal small subunit ribosomal RNA
Source: RNAcentral